GGAAGGAAGGAAGGAAGGAAGGAAAGAAGGAGGGAAAGAGCGAGCUCAAUUCUGGACAGCCCCAUGCCCACCUGCAUGACAGAGCACUCUCAAUGGCCAGGCAGUGUCCUGGGGCCUUCACCUGACCUUCCCAUGUUGUCACGAUUCUACAGGGGACUGUGCAGAGGCUAACUUCAGCACAGUAUCUGUCGCUGGCGGACAGUGGAGCAGGGAUAUUUGGGAAGAAGCUUUCUGAGUCCCAACCGUCCACCCCUGGACCAUCACUUUAUGCUGCCAUUGCUGGAGAGCUUUAAGUGAGGACAGUGCUGAGUGUCUGAGAGUGUCAAAGCCCCUGCCCCGCUCCUGCAGGGGUGGAAGCGCUGGCUGGGCCCCAGCGUCUCCUGACAGCUACUCUGGGCCCCCUCCUGGCCUGCCUGGAUCCCAUUUCUUAGAACAAAGGCCAAGAGCCAUCAUUGCAAGCCCUGGGUUAAUGACAGGAGCCCCAAGAAGGAUGGUGCCAUGGGGAUUCCACAGCCUUGGAGGUCAUGCUCACGCUAAGGGGCUUGGACUUGGUCCUUUGGGCAAUGGUGAGGGGACAUCAAACCUCUAAGCAUGGAAAAAAAAAAGAUACAUUUCCAGUAAAAUUUUAAUUGUUUAUGUUAAAAAGAA
Molecule: long non-coding RNA, 648 nt
Organism: Sapajus apella (tufted capuchin)
Lineage: Eukaryota; Metazoa; Chordata; Mammalia; Primates; Cebidae
Exons: 2
Source: RefSeq, a predicted model, not a curated record